AUGCAUGCAUUACCUAUUCAAAAAGAACCUCAGUUUUAUAAAAUCCUAUGUCAAACUCUUCCCAAGGAGGAUACCAAGGAAACUUCGGCCAUUCUAAGUAAUAUAUUAAGAAUUCUUGGGACCUUUGGCCGCCGCUCCAUGCAGCGCAACGCGCUUGGCGCGGCGCAGCGCGGGGGCCGCCGGGCUAGGGGACUAGCGCCACGGGAGUCCCCGAGGGGGCCGGCCGCCGCCUCCUCGGCGCUGCCCGCCGCUCCGGGGAGGCAGCGUAUUCCCCGCGGGCGGCGGGCCCCUGCUCACGGGUGGCGCGGCCGUGCACAUCUCCGCCGCCGGCGCCGCCAAGGCCACCCUCUACUGCCGCGUCUUCCUGCUCGACGGGAUCGAAGUGAGUGUGGACCUGCCGAAACAUGCCAAAGGCCAGGAUUUGUUUGAUCAGAUCAUGUACCACUUGGACCUUGGGGAAACAGAUCACGUACUUUGGCCUCCAGUUCCUUGGCUCUGCCCAGGUCGCGCACUGGCUGGAUCAUUCCAAAGCAAUAAAAAAGCAGAUGAAGAUGAAAAUAGGACCUGCUUAUGCUUUGCACUUUCGAGUUAAAUACUAUUCUUCAGAACCAAACAACCUUCGUGAGGAGUUUACAAGGUACCUGUUUGUUUUACAACUCAGGCAUGACAUUCUUUGUGGAAAUUUGAAAUGCCCUUAUGAAACAGCUGUGGAGUUAACUGCUCUCUGUCUACAAGCGGAGCUUGGGGAGUGCGAGCUUUCAGAGCACACACCGGAGCUCGUGUCUGAGUUUCGGUUCAUUCCAAAUCAGACAGAAGCUAUGGAAUUUGAUAUCUUCCAGAGAUGGAAAGAGUGCAGGGGAAAGAGCCCUGCCCAGGCGGAACUCUCCUAUUUGAAUAAAGCGAAGUGGCUGGAAAUGUAUGGGGUAGACAUGCACGUUGUCAGGGGAAGAGAUGGCUAUGAAUAUUCUUUUGGACUGACCCCGACAGACAUAUUAAUCUUUGAAGGAGCUAACAAAAUAUGCUUAUUGUUUUGGCCUAAAAUUACCAAAAUGGAUUUUAAAAAGAGCAAAUUGACACUCGUGGUUGUCGAGGAUGAUGAUCAGGGACGUGAGCAAGAGCACACGUUUGUGUUCCGGUUAGACAGUGCCAGGACCUGCGAACAACUCUGGAAGUGUGCAGUUGAACACCACGAGUUCUUCCGACUGCGGACACCGGGAAACAGCAAAUCCAAUAGAUCCGACUUUAUCAGGUUGGGCUCUCGCUUCAGAUUCAGUGGGCGGACAAAUGUCAAGCGACACAUGGCUCCAGGUUACGAAGAACCAGCACGUUUGAGAGGAAGCCUAGUAAACGUUAUCCGUCCCGGAGGCAUUCAACGUUCAAAGCAAGCAACCCGGUGAUAGCAGCCCAGCUCUGCUCUAAAACAAAUCCAGAAGUCCAAAAUUACCAGCCUCAGUAUCAUCCUAAUAUCCACCCCAGCCAGCCCCGGUGGCAUCCUCACUCUCCAAAUGUCAGGCCAUCCUUUCAGGAUGACGGGUCGCAUUGGAAAGCGUCGGCCAGUGGAGAUGACAGCCAUUUUGAUUAUGUCCAGAACCAGAACCAGAAGAACUUAGGAGGGAUGCAGAGUGUGAUGUAUCGAGAUAAACUCAUGACUGCACUUUGA
Molecule: non-coding RNA, 1660 nt
Organism: Saimiri boliviensis boliviensis (Bolivian squirrel monkey)
Lineage: Eukaryota; Metazoa; Chordata; Mammalia; Primates; Cebidae
Source: RefSeq, a predicted model, not a curated record